Molecule: ribosomal RNA, 253 nt
Filed under: uncultured bacterium
Lineage: Bacteria
Description: partial 16S ribosomal RNA
Rfam family: Bacterial small subunit ribosomal RNA
Source: RNAcentral
UACAGGGGGGGCAAGCGUUGUUCGGAAUUACUGGGCGUAAAGGGCUCGUAGGUGGCCAACUAAGUCAGACGUGAAAUCCCCAGGCUUAACCUGGGAACUGCGUCUGAUACUGGAUGGCUAGAGUUUGGGAGAGGGAUGCGGAAUUCCAGGUGUAGCGGUGAAAUGCGUAGAUAUCUGGAGGAACACCGGUGGCGAAGGCGGCAUCCUGGACCAACACUGACGCUGAGGAGCGAAAGCCAGGGGAGCAAACGGG